Molecule: ribosomal RNA, 467 nt
Filed under: uncultured bacterium
Lineage: Bacteria
Description: partial 16S ribosomal RNA
Rfam family: Bacterial small subunit ribosomal RNA
Source: RNAcentral
GAUGAACGCUGGCGGCGUGCUUAACACAUGCAAGUCGAACGAUGAUGCCCAGCUUGCUGGGUGGAUUAGUGGCGAACGGGUGAGUAACACGUGAGUAACCUGCCCUUGACUCUGGGAUAAGCCUGGGAAACUGGGUCUAAUACCGGAUACGACCAUCUGGCGCAUGUCAUGGUGGUGGAAAGCUUUUGUGGUUUUGGAUGGACUCGCGGCCUAUCAGCUUGUUGGUGGGGUAAUGGCCUACCAAGGCGACGACGGGUAGCCGGCCUGAGAGGGUGACCGGCCACACUGGGUCUGAGACACGGCCCAGACUCCUACGGGAGGCAGCAGUGGGGAAUAUUGCACAAUGGGCGCAAGCCUGAUGCAGCGACGCCGCGUGAGGGAUGACGGCCUUCGGGUUGUAAACCUCUUUCAGUAGGGAAGAAGCGAAAGUGACGGUACCUGCAGAAGAAGCGCCGGCUAACUACGUG